Molecule: ribosomal RNA, 229 nt
Filed under: Salmonella enterica
Lineage: Bacteria; Pseudomonadati; Pseudomonadota; Gammaproteobacteria; Enterobacterales; Enterobacteriaceae
Also listed under: 1 other name
Description: partial 16S ribosomal RNA
Rfam family: Bacterial small subunit ribosomal RNA
Source: RNAcentral
AAAUUGAAGAGUUUGAUCAUGGCUCAGAUUGAACGCUGGCGGCAGGCCUAACACAUGCAAGUCGAACGGUAGCACAGAGAGCUUGCUCUCGGGUGACGAGUGGCGGACGGGUGAGUAAUGUCUGGGAAACUGCCUGAUGGAGGGGGAUAACUACUGGAAACGGUGGCUAAUACCGCAUAACGUCGCAAGACCAAAGAGGGGGACCUUCGGGCCUCUUGCCAUCAGAUGU